CCUACGGGGGGCAGCAGUGAGGAAUAUUGGUCAAUGGGCGAGAGCCUGAACCAGCCAAGUCGCGUGAGGGAGUACUGCCCUAUGGGUUGUAAACCUCUUUUGUCGGGGAGCAAAAGCCGGACGUGUCCGGCUGUGAGAGUACCCGAAGAAAAAGCAUCUGCUAACUCCGUGCCAGCAGCCGCGGUAAUACGGAGGAUGCGAGCGUUAUCCGGAUUUAUUGGGGUAAAAGGGUGCGCAGGCGGAUUUUUAAGUCAGCGGUCAAAUCGUGGGGCUCAACCCCAUCCAGCCGUUGAAACUGGGGAUCUAGAGUGUGCGAGAGGUAUGCGGAAUGCGUGGUGUAGCGGUGAAAUGCAUAGAUAUCACGCAGAACCCCGAUUGCGAAGGCAGCAUACCGGUGCACAACUGACGCUCAGGCACGAAAGCGUGGGUAUCGAACAGGAUUAGAUACCCGAGUAGUC
RNAcentral lists this ribosomal RNA (458 nucleotides) under uncultured bacterium. RNAcentral's name for it is "partial 16S ribosomal RNA". It matches the Rfam family "Bacterial small subunit ribosomal RNA", at positions 338 to 795 of the family's 1533-position model. The record is from RNAcentral.